Molecule: transfer RNA, 62 nt
Filed under: Branchiostoma belcheri (Belcher's lancelet)
Lineage: Eukaryota; Metazoa; Chordata; Leptocardii; Amphioxiformes; Branchiostomatidae
Description: tRNA-Arg
Source: RNAcentral
GAACAGGUAGUUUAAAAAAUAUUUGGUUUCGGCCCAGAAGAUAACAUGUGAUGUUUCUGUUU